This 494-nucleotide ribosomal RNA is filed under the name uncultured bacterium. Its description in RNAcentral is "partial 16S ribosomal RNA". It matches the Rfam family "Bacterial small subunit ribosomal RNA", at positions 28 to 507 of the family's 1533-position model. The record is from RNAcentral.
GACGAACGCUGGCGGCGGGCUUAACACAUGCAAGUCGAACGGUGAAGCGCCUUCCUUUUUUGUGGGUGUGGAGGAGGGGCGAACGGGUGAGUAACACGUGAGUAACCUGCCCCCUUCUGCUGGAUAACCGCAUGAAAGUGUGGCUAAUACGGGAUAUUCUGGGUCUGUCGCAUGAGGGGUCUGGGAAAGAUAUUGUUUCGGUGGGGGAUGGGCUCGCGGCCUAUCAGCUUGUUGGUGGGGUGAUGGCCUACCAAGGCGGUGACGGGUAGCCGGCCUGAGAUGGUCGACCGCCACACUAGGGCUGAGACGCGCACCAGACUCCGACGGGAGGCAGCAGUGGGGAAUAUAGCACAAUGGGAGGAAGGCUGAUGCAGCGCCGCCGCGUGAGGGAUGGAGGCCUGCGGGUUGAGAACCUCUUUCGCCAGUGAAGCAGGCAUGCCUCGUUUGUGGGUGGGUUGACGGUAGCUGGAGAAGAAGCGCCGGCUAACUACGUG